ACUACACCCCUGUAAUGCAGAAUCAACCUGAGUCUCUCAUUCCUGGAGCGGUUUAUGAAAAGUGAAGAUCCAAGACCAGACUUCAGAGUGAAUAGGAACUCUCCUGCAGUCCUCCUGAACCUCCUUGAUCAGGAUUGGGGAUGUGGGUGGGGGGCUGUCAUUGAGACUUUGAUGUUUCUCUUCUGUCUGGUGAGCGGAGCAUCCUACAGGGUGGUCUCAAGAGUGUUUGGGAUGUCUCCUUUCACUAUCCACUGUAUCGUCCACAGUCACUGAGGAGGUGGUGGCCAUUCACCAUAAGGUCCUUCACCUUCCAAAAACCCCUGAGGACCUGGAGGUGGUGUCCUGUGGGUUUGCAGGGCUGACACGGCACAGAGUUUCAGGUGCAUCGAUGGAUUCCACAUCAGGAUCAAACCUCCUAGUGACCCUGACGGUCACUGCUACAGAAACAGAAAACUCUUCCCCUCCAUCAUCCUGCAGGCUGUGUGACCAUCGGGGCUGCUUCAUUCACACCCAUGUGGACUGGCCCGGGUCGGUGCAUGACUCCAGGGUGCUCCGCCACAGUCCACUGUACAGGCAGUCGGUCGACCCUCCUCCGGGGCACUUCAUCCUUGCAGAUGGUGGAUACCUGUGCCUCCAACGCCCACUCCCCCUCAUCACUCCCUACAAACGGAUGAAUGAAGGUGUUGCAGAACAGCGCUUCAACAGUCAUCAUUCCAAAAGCACGCUCGAUUAUAGAGUUUGCUUUUGGAAUGAUGAAGACAAGAUUCAGAGCAAUCUUUCUGCAAGAGCUGGAGAUGCAUCACACCUUUGUACCUCACGUUGUCACAGUUUGCGCCAUCCUCCAUAACAUCUGCCUUUGUGCUGGUGACACUGUGGCCCCAGAGGAUGACCUGGAGGAAGAUGUGGGAGAUGAUGAGGGGGAGCCUGGCUCAGCGGGGUCUCUGGCAGGACCAACUGUCUGCUGAGGUUUCUACCCUGGAGGAGGAACCACCAGAUCAUGAUUACUGAUAACAGGUAAUUAAAUAAGAAAGUUAUUGAUUAAAAGUUUUUUUUGUUUGUUUUAGAAAAGUAUUAAGAUUUCUCAUGAAUAAUCUCAUAUUUAUGUAUUAAUGGAUCAUUUUUGGUCAUGCAGCAUCCGUCGACAGCCAGCCCUGCAAACCCUGAAGAUGGACGAUGCAGUGGACAGUUAAGAGGCAUCCUGAAACUCUGCAGACCACCCUGCAGGAUGUUCCUAUCACCACCCAGAAAGGUCCAGUCCCGGGUCUCAGUUGAAGCCCCCCCAUCCAUGUUGACCAUCUUUGUAAAUAGUUAUAAAUAAAAG
This 1321-nucleotide long non-coding RNA is filed under the name Oryzias javanicus (javanese ricefish). RNAcentral describes it as "lncRNA (ENSOJAG00000004646.1)". The record is from RNAcentral. Lineage: Eukaryota; Metazoa; Chordata; Actinopteri; Beloniformes; Adrianichthyidae.